Molecule: transfer RNA, 78 nt
Filed under: Pseudomonadota bacterium
Lineage: Bacteria; Pseudomonadati; Pseudomonadota
Also listed under: 1 other name
Description: tRNA-Pro
Rfam family: tRNA
About the family: Transfer RNA (tRNA) molecules are approximately 80 nucleotides in length.
Source: RNAcentral
CGGACCGUAGCUCAACCUGGAUAGAGCACUACCUUGGGGUGGUAGGGGUUGCUGGUUCAAAUCCAGUCGGUCCGACCA